RNAcentral lists this ribosomal RNA (110 nucleotides) under Escherichia coli. RNAcentral's name for it is "partial 16S ribosomal RNA". It matches the Rfam family "Bacterial small subunit ribosomal RNA", at positions 1 to 103 of the family's 1533-position model. Lineage: Bacteria; Pseudomonadati; Pseudomonadota; Gammaproteobacteria; Enterobacterales; Enterobacteriaceae. RNAcentral also lists the same sequence under 65 other names. The record is from RNAcentral.
AAAUUGAAGAGUUUGAUCAUGGCUCAGAUUGAACGCUGGCGGCAGGCCUAACACAUGCAAGUCGAACGGUAACAGGAAGCAGCUUGCUGCUUUGCUGACGAGUGGCGGAC